RNAcentral lists this ribosomal RNA (497 nucleotides) under uncultured bacterium. RNAcentral's name for it is "partial 16S ribosomal RNA". It matches the Rfam family "Bacterial small subunit ribosomal RNA", at positions 28 to 507 of the family's 1533-position model. The record is from RNAcentral.
GAUGAACGCUGGCGGCGUGCCUAAUACAUGCAAGUCGAGCGAACAGAUAAGGAGCUUGCUCCUUUGACGUUAGCGGCGGACGGGUGAGUAACACGUGGGUAACCUACCUAUAAGACUGGGAUAACUUCGGGAAACCGGAGCUAAUACCGGAUAACAUUUGGAACCGCAUGGUUCUAAAGUGAAAGAUGGUUUUGCUAUCACUUAUAGAUGGACCCGCGCCGUAUUAGCUAGUUGGUAAGGUAACGGCUUACCAAGGCGACGAUACGUAGCCGACCUGAGAGGGUGAUCGGCCACACUGGAACUGAGACACGGUCCAGACUCCUAGGGGAGGCAGAGGUAGGGAAUCUUCCGCAAUGGGCGAAAGCCUGACGGAGCAACGCCGCGUGAGUGAUGAAGGGUUUCGGGUCGUAAAACUCUGUUAUUAGGGAAGAACAAAUGUGUAAGUAACUGUGCACGUCUUGACGGUACCUAAUCAGAAAGCCACGGCUAACUACGUG